RNAcentral lists this ribosomal RNA (497 nucleotides) under uncultured bacterium. Its description in RNAcentral is "partial 16S ribosomal RNA". It matches the Rfam family "Bacterial small subunit ribosomal RNA", at positions 28 to 507 of the family's 1533-position model. The record is from RNAcentral.
GAUGAACGCUGGCGGCGUGCCUAAUACAUGCAAGUCGAGCGAACGGACGAGAAGCUUGCUUCUCUUCUUUUAGCGGCGGACGUGUGAGUAACAUGUGUAUCACCUCCCUAUCAGACUGGGAUAACUUCGGGACACCGUAUCUAAUACCGGAUAAUAUUUUUAACCGCAUGGUUCAAAAGAGAAAUACGGUCUUGCUGUCACUUAUAGAUGUAUCCGCUCUUCAUUAGCUAGUUGGUAAGGUAACGCCUUACCAAGUCAACAAUGCAUAGCCGACCUGAGAGGAUGAUGGGCAACACUGGAACUAGGACAAGGUCCCAAAUCCUAAGGGAGGCAGCAGUAGGGAAUCUUCCGCAGGGGGCGGAAGCCUAAAGGAGCAAAGCCGCGUGAGUGAGGAAGGGCUUCGGAGCGUAAAACUCGGUUAUUAGGGAAGAACAAAUGUGUAAGUAACUGUGCAAAUCUUGACGGUACCUAAUCAGAAAGACACGGCUAACUACGUG